RNAcentral lists this ribosomal RNA (441 nucleotides) under uncultured bacterium. RNAcentral's name for it is "partial 16S ribosomal RNA". It matches the Rfam family "Bacterial small subunit ribosomal RNA", at positions 338 to 795 of the family's 1533-position model. The record is from RNAcentral.
CCUACGGGGGGCAGCAGUGGGGGAUAUUGCACAAUGGGGGGAACCCUGAUGCAGCGACGCCGCGUGGGUGAAGGAGUGCUUCGGCAUGUAAAGCCCUAUCGGCAGGGAAGAAGCAAGACGGUACCUGACUAAGAAGCCCCGGCUAACUAUGUGCCAGCAGCCGCGGUAAUACGUAGGGGCCGAGCGUUAUCAGGAUUCACUGGGUGUAAGGGGAGCGUAGACGGCCAUGCAAGCCAGGGGUGAAAGCCCGGGGCCCAACCCCGGGACUGCCCUGGGAACUGCCUGGCGGGAGUGCGGGAGGGGCAGGCGGAAGUCCUGGUGUAGCGGUGAAAUGCGUAGAGAUCAGGAGGAACACCGGCGGCGAAGGCGGCCUGCUGGACCGCGACUGACGUUGAGGCUCGAAAGCGUGGGGAGCGAACAGGAUUAGAUACCCUUGUAGUC